Molecule: long non-coding RNA, 1102 nt
Filed under: Cyanistes caeruleus (blue tit)
Lineage: Eukaryota; Metazoa; Chordata; Aves; Passeriformes; Paridae
Description: lncRNA (ENSCCEG00000005578.1)
Source: RNAcentral
UUACCCCGAGCGCCAUUUCACCGAGGCUCCCCCCCGGCGCCUGAUCCGGCGCUUCCGGCGCCGCCUGCGCCGAAUCUCCCGGCAAAUCCGCGCCCGCAACCGCGGCCUGGAGCGGCCCUACCCCUACCUGGACCCCGCCAACAUCGAGAACAGCGUGGCCAUCUGAGACAGCCGGAAAACACCCGGAAAACACCCGGAAAUACACCCAGAAACACCCUGAAAACACCCGGAAAUACACCCAGAAACAGCCCGAAAACACCCGAAGAUACACCCCGAAAACACCCGGAAAUACACCCAGAAACACCCGGAAAUACACCCAGAAAUACACCCAGAAACAGCCCGAAAACACCCAGAAACAACCCAAAAACACCCAGAAAUACACCCAGAAACAGCCCGGAAACACCCAGAAAUACACCCGGAAAUACCCAAAAAUACCCCAAAAUUGCUGGUCUGUACUGGGAGCCGUUACUGGGAUUUAUUAACCCUUACUGGUCUGUACUGGUCUGUACUGGGAGCUGUUACUGGUCUAUACUGGUCUGUACUGGGAGCUGUUACUGGUCUAUACUGGGAGCUGUUACUGGUCUGUACUGGGAGCUGUUACUGGUCUGUACUGGGAGCUGUUACUGGGAGUUAUUAACCCUUACUGGUCUGUACUGGGAGCUGUUACUGGUCUGUACUGGUCUGUACUGGGAGCUGUUACUGGGAUUUAUUAACCCUUACUGGUCUGUACUGGGAGCUGUUACUGGUCUGUACUGGGAGCUGUUACUGGUCUAUACUGGUCUGUACUGGGAGCUGUUACUGGUCUGUACUGGGAGCUGUUACUGGUCUGUACUGGUCUAUACUGGUCUGUACUGGUGUCAAUAAAGGUGUCAAUGGAGCAGUGGCUGUGUGGGGGAAGGGUACUGGGGUGUACUGGGACAUACUGGGGCAUACUGGGGUGUACUGGGACAUACUGGGACAUACUGGGACAUACUGGGGUGUACUGGGACAUACUGGGACAUACUGGGACAUACUGGGACAUACUGGGACAUACUGGGACAUACUGGGGUGUACUGGGACAUACUGGGGCAUACUGGGGUGUACUGGGACAUACUGGGACAUA